UACCCAGUUCCAGAUAUUCCUUUUAGACAUAAAUCGAAACAAAGUUAUAACAACAAACUCCUUAGUUAAGAGCACAAGGGGAGAUUUGAUGCAGGAUAUUGUGCUUUGAAAUGUUAUUUCUGCACUCAACCUGCUCAUUUAUAACAGGUAUAACCCCACCUGGUGAAACCAAUGCAUUUUGAGUGUGCUGGGGACCCAGGAAGGUGUUAGUGGCUUUGACCAGCCCCACCUGGUCCCAGGCAUUAUUUAAGCUCAGAACAGGUGGUUCCAGCUUUUUCCAGCAAUGCUGCAGGCAGACAACUUCUCUUCAGGCCCCCUGGACUUACCUCUGGAUUUCUGAGGUUGGUUUUGGAUUUGAUCUGGCUUGAUGAUCCUGAACCUUAAAGGAGCCUGUUACCAUCACCAGCCAUUGCAGGUAUGUGGGUUGGUGAGGUCCCUGCCCACCAGCAUCGCACAGGGUCCCUGCUUACCCUACCUCACUACUGUGGUUCUGCAGGACCCUUUUCACAUGAUGGCCACAGCGCAGUGAGAUGAACCCCUUGACCAAGCAGCUACUGGCACCUAGCUGAACACAAGGUGGCUGACUAAAAAAAUCUGAAUUUUGCUAGCUUGCCUCACACAUGUGACUUAUCUCCAGUUCUCUCGAUGAUAGUGCUAGUAUUGUGGUGACACAAAUAAAGGGAGAAGUACUAAAGAUUCCUCUGCAGUGUACAGAAAUGGCUUCCCUGCUGCAGUGCCAGUCC
This is a long non-coding RNA of Pezoporus flaviventris, 743 nucleotides long. RefSeq lists it as uncharacterized. The record is from RefSeq and is a predicted model, not a curated record. Lineage: Eukaryota; Metazoa; Chordata; Aves; Psittaciformes; Psittacidae. The transcript is spliced from 2 exons.